RNAcentral lists this ribosomal RNA (253 nucleotides) under uncultured bacterium. RNAcentral describes it as "partial 16S ribosomal RNA". It matches the Rfam family "Bacterial small subunit ribosomal RNA", at positions 524 to 776 of the family's 1533-position model. The record is from RNAcentral.
UACAGAGGUCUCAAGCGUUGUUCGGAUUCAUUGGGCGUAAAGGGUGUGUAGGCGGCGCGGUAAGUCGGGUGUGAAAUCUCGGAGCUUAACUCCGAAACUGCAUUCGAUACUGCCGUGCUUGAGGACUGGAGAGGAGACUGGAAUUUACGGUGUAGCGGUGAAAUGCGUAGAUAUCGUAAGGAAGACCAGUGGCGAAGGCGGGUCUCUGGACAGUUCCUGACGCUGAGGCACGAAGGUCGGGGGAGCAAACGGG